UACAUAAGAAUGUCCGUUUUCAAAAAUCCUUCAUUUUUACUUUGAAUUCGAAACUGUGUUAGAGUGAAAAGCAUGAAAACAUGAAUCAAAAGGCAAGAAGCCUAAAAGGAGAUGUAGAUGUCUAUGAACGUGAUGCACUAUCUGAAAGACUAGAGAUCAUAAAGUGACCUCAUGAAUUUGAGAAACUUGGUGAUUUUUGAGUACCCUGGAUUUAAAGACAACAUGCCAAGGCAGAGAAAUGUGACUUCUAAUCUUUUGAAUCCACUUCUGAUGACUUUCCUUCAGUCUGCUUAAAAUUAACACUAAAACAUGCUGUCCCCCACACCGAGGGUUUCAGAGACCAGACACUCAGGUCCACCUUGUGAAAAUGUUCUAGUCCCAAAUUAAUAGUUAUGUUUUGUCUUCAUUCUUUAUUGUUUUUAGGACCUCUAGUGGCAGAAAAAAAGGCAUUUGCAGAGAAGGUCAUCUGGAAAGGUCUUAACACGAAAGCAAGUAUGGCCAGUAUGGCCAUGAACUCCAGCUAGUAAGAAGUGAAUGUGAAAAUGCCAUUUAAUUAAAACUCUGGAUUUUCUCCAGGAAUAAUUACCUCGUCUUCUUUCUCUUUAUAUACAGCAUACUGCAAAAAUAAUAAACUGAAACAGACCUCUCCACUAGUGAAGGGAAUUAUGCUUUUGUGCUAACCAAGGAACAUCAUGGUACACUGAUUUUAAAAAAAGCUCCACUUCCUCCCCUCCAGCACCCCAAAAAACAUCCUACUAUUCAUCUGUGCAAAAAUGUCCAAAUCCAGGGCUCCUACUGCCUAACUCAAUGAAAGACUGAAGUCUGCUAGGAAAAUGUCCAAGACAUAUAAAAUACAUUCAAAGCUACUGGUGACUGUUAUUGCAUGCCUGUCAGUAAUCUUUUUAGCAAACAGCUACUCUCAAUUAUUGAUAUUUCAUUACGAGGUUUCAAGGUGACUCUGGAUGACAGGUAAAACCACACAUUUUCUGCUUUUCAGUAGGAAGACUGAUUAACACUGGAAAUGUACAGCAUACUAUGAAAAUCUGUUCCUCCAGGUAACUCCAUUUUGACUCUUGACAACAAAAAAAUGUUGGGUUUUGUCUGCACCCCUUUGCCAGAUCAUUGCAGCUGUGCCAGUACUGUUAAAAACCCCUUACCUUUGUGGAUCUAGGAUUUGUCUCUCUAAACAGAAGACAAUAUUAAGCUUCAAAAAGGGCAAGAACAAUUUAUACCUGCUCCUACACUAAGUCUCAUCAGUGCAACUCUAUUAUUAAAAAUGUUUAAAACGUAUCUGCAAAAUAAAUAGCAAAAUUAAUAAACCCUCUACAUGUGGAAAAACUGUACAGCCAUCCAGAACACAGGAGAGCCAUAUCCUUUUUUUUUUUUUUUUCUUGGUUUUGGCAAUAAAAAUACAGUCCUAAUGGAGAACACAGGAGAGCAAGUACCAGCAGAAUUGACAAGAUGGAGGAGGUAUAUCUCAGACAGUGAGAAUGUGCAGGUGGUUAUUUGUUCUACUGAGACCAGGAUUUCUCUUUUUCUGGCUGGACAUGUCAGAGAGAUGCACAAAUCUGUAACUGAGGUUUUGUCCCUGCCCUAUUUAAGAGACUCAUCUCAUUUACUAUGGACAGUCUUGGAAAUGUCAUUUCUUGGCAGUCAUGAGCAAUGAAUUACAAUAUGCUACAUCUGGGGGGAAAUGCUGGAAAGAAUCUGCACAGUAAAGAUUUGGAAAGUGCAAGAAUUAAAAAGUAAACAGUAUUCCAUAUUGAUAAAACACAUUUGAGAAGUUUAAAAUAAGACAGCUGAGUAGGAAAGCAGACUAAUAAACCUGAGUAGUUUCAGAUUUACUGAAAAGGGUAUUUCAGGUGUGGAUGUAGCUCCAAGUAUUGAUACAGCUCCUUAAAUCUCACCGAGGUGUUUUGCUCCCGAGUUAGUGUUGGGCAACUGCUCAGGAACAUCAAGAACAUGUGUAACACAGCAGGGGAGUGUUCAAGUACAUCCAGUGGUGGGGAUCACAGCCUGAUCUCAUGAAGCAAGGUCACCUUAUUGUGACAGAGGUUAAUUCUAAUCAGGUAUCUUACAUCUGAAGGGUAUUGUAAUAGAGACUGAACAGCUGCUGAAUUAAUUAAAUGAAUAGAAAGAAUUCAACUGUAACGUAAAUAAUAAAAGAAAAUAUAGACUAAGAUUCAUUAUGCACUAACAUCCCCUGAAAAAUCUGGAGUAAUCAAAACUACUCAAGGUUGGUGUCAAGUGCCAGCCCAGGUGGCAAGAUAGUGUAAGGUGAGAAAUAGUGUGAGACUUCAUAUUGACUUCUUCAGAAUUAAAUUAAUAAUUUCAUAAAUACUGAAAUGCUUCAAUUGACACUCUGGGACCAAACUGAUUUUUAUUAAUAAAAAAUUGCUUCCCCUCUCUCCUACUGAUUUUUCAGUUCUGCGAGAUAAAAAAAUAAACAAAACAAGAACUGUAUCUGACCGAGAGCAGUCAUAGAAUGUGUCUUGAGGCAUUUCAAAUAUGGCUCUGGGGAAGACAAUGUCAUGCUCUUAGAAAUCAGAGUUUUGUCUGUGCUUCUGCCUCUCCCUGAGUCAUUAACAGCCUCAGAUGUGAACGACACUGAAAUGCACUUGCUCAGUCUGGUUUUUUGGCUGACACAGUGAAGCAGCAAUCAGACUGAGGCUGAAACAUUUAUGAGAGUCAUGAAGGGCAGAAAACCCAGAAAUGCAUUAUUUACUGCACAUGUUCUUUAUUCUCUCUUCAUGGGUAAUUCAUUUGAAUUCUGCUCUUCUGUUGGGUGAAGUGGAUCUAAAGUAACAUCUCUGAAGCAGCCACUGUGUUACUCCAGAUUUACACAGCUGUGCUGGAUGGCAGGAUCUGCCUCAGAGCAUUUUAUAUUAGCUGUGUCUCAGAGGGUGUGCUAUGCCUAGGGCUCAGAAUAUUCCCAGCCAGCUUAAUUUUCACAAGCUGCCCUUGCAAGGCAAGCUGCAAAUGCAUUUACAGAUCUAGCACAAUAAUUUCUUACUCCUCAGGUUGGUUAACCUGUCAGAAAUGAAUCUGUUUCUUCGAACUUCUAUUUUUGCAGGUGCCUCUGCUAUAAAGGCCUCAGCUGUACAAAAAUGAACUAGACAAAAUGUGCAGACGCUUUAUUUGGCAUGGAAAGAACCCAAGGACACAGCCCUGCUAUGGUUGCAAAAAUUGAAAGGAAUAUAGGGAACUUGGCCUUCCUCAGUGGAAACUCGACAUUUGGGUGGCCUGGCUGCAGCCUGUGUGGGGCUGGCAGUCGCUGUCUCUGAAUGAAGAGGCUGACUUAACCUGGAUCUCUAUCAAAUCCUCCCUCUGCGAGACCGUGCAUUUGGCAGAGGUACUGACAGAAAUCCUCUGGCCGAGAAAGCACAAUCAAAUCCUGUUAGGCACAGUAUCUUGAGAAGGGGGUCAAUUCGUUUAAAACACUGAGACAUUUUAACUGUGGUUGUUUGGCAUUUACUAUGGUUGCUGAUUUAUUUGAAUUCUCCUUCAGUUACAAAAAUCCCAAACUUGAAAAAAAUAUCAAGAAAAAAGGAUCUAAGGAUCUGCAAGAAUCAGAGAGUUUUUUAGGGAGCAGAUUAAAUUCUUCCAGUGUACAUCUUUGAUACAUCACCCCUCACCUGUGUAUGCACAGGAGAUAAUCAAGCAGUCCUAACUACUGGGAAAUUUGUGAGGUUUACUGAGAAACAAAUUCUGAGGUUAGUGCCUGAACAAACAGCUGGGAUGGGAAGAAAAUGCUUCCUCUCGUAAGUAGGUGGAAGUGGGUCCUGAAUCAUUGCUUCCCCCCGGCUGCCCCACAUCCCUCAGUUCAGCAUGCAUAGAGGAAAUCCACAUAGGAAAAGCUUAGGUAUCAGCCCUGUCUGCUGCUCACCCAUGCUUCCACAGCAAAAUCCCACCUCUAGGUUGCUAAGCAGUUUGUGGUAGUGAUGUGGGGGCCACAGAAGCGUAUUUUGAUGCCAAAAGCAGGGUGCCAGUUUGGAGUGCCAUUACCUGCGCUCUUCUGGGCCUUAUGUCAAGGGAUAUUAAAAACACAAUCUUCAUUCCAGUUCAAAGCAGAGCUUGAACUUCAUAAACCAUCCCUGGCAGGGACCAUGUUUCCCUGCUUGCCAUGUCCUUUUCACAGUCCUGUGAGGCAUUGCAUUUGCCUGUCACUGUCCCACGGUGCACCAUCUCUGGGUUUGGGAAUUUUGCUGUUUGUCUCAAGAAAUGUAUUAAGUUCCCAACUCCGCAGCUUUUACUUGCCCAAGGAAAGCUCAUAGGCUCUGACCUCAGGCUGUUUGCAAAGCCUGUCAAAACUCAUUUGUCUAGGAGAUUGCAGAAGCAAAUAUCACAGUAAAGGCUAAAAGGCAAUUCUAUGCCAAGCUCAUUCUAGGUCACUAACUUCCUAAGGGUAUUCUUCCAAGAAAUAGCUUCAUUUUGAGUAGUUCUGCAAGAGGAGAGAGACUGUGAGUUAUAGUUAACCCCUUCGUCCUAAGAAAAAGCAAGAAUCCUUCAGUCUAUCACAUUUAUCAUUCAACAUUUAUUCAGGCUAAGACUUCCCCCCUUAGAGCCAAUACUAGCAAAUGAAGUUACAAGGAAAUAGUAGAUUUGAAUGAAAUAUUCUUUGCCCUUUCAAAAAGCACACUAUUUUAAAUGUGGAUCUUGGGCAGCAUCCUCACUUCUUUUAGGAAAGUAAAUACAAUGUAUUCAAAACAAAAAGAAAUCUCACAUUGAAAAACUACAUCAACUCAAAUAAAAGGCUUAACCGCCCAGAAAACUCAGAUACCCCUCAGGAAAGCCACUGGAGCAAAGACAAAGAAAUACAGGAGGCACACAGAUGCAGUUUUGAAGGAAGAGACAAAGUCGUGUAAGAACUACAAUAGAGCUAAAUAAAAUGAACAUGCAAGGGAAGUAACACAUGACAAAAUUAAACAAAUAAAGCCAGCUAAACGAUGGGAGGUGUGGAGAUAAAGCAGACUUGGACAGUCCUACCAAAGUGCAUAGAGCUUGCACACCUUCAUCGGCUGCUGUUAGGAGGUUGUGAGAGGGACUAGCAAAAAAACUACCUGAAUCCAUGGUACCUUAGAUUACCUCAUCUUCUAAAAACCACCUAGGCCACGAGCAAGAGACAGGAGGAGAAAGACAAGGUUAUUCUAAGGCUUAGAUUCUAAAAAGUUAUUUCCUUAAUUAAACAUAAGGUCUAAGAGAAUGUCAGCCCAGUGCUCAUCAAGUGUCAAAAAACAUUAGGAAUGUUAGGAAUUUUUGGAAAAUAGAGAGCAAUAGAAAACAAAUACUGCUAUGCAAAUGUAUGCACAAUGCACCUGUGUCUAAAAUUGUGCUUAUUUCCCUUUCAAAAAUGGUGCAGAAAAAUAAGAAAAAAAAAA
Molecule: long non-coding RNA, 5378 nt
Organism: Taeniopygia guttata (zebra finch)
Lineage: Eukaryota; Metazoa; Chordata; Aves; Passeriformes; Estrildidae
Source: Ensembl